GACGAACGCUGGCGGCGUGCUUAACACAUGCAAGUCGAACGGAAGGGCGCUACUCUUGUGUGUUGCUCGUUUGCCGAGCGGGUGAGUAACACGUGAGUAACCUGCACUUAACUUUGUGAUAUCAUCACGGAACUGCGGAGAAUACACGGUAGGAUCUCCUGCUGCGUGGUGUUGGUUGGAGAGUGUCGGCGGUUGUGUAUGUACUCGCGGCGUAUCCGCUUCUUGGUGGGGUAGUGGCAUAACAAGGCUUUGACGGGUAGCCGGCCUGAGAGGGUGACCGGCCACACUGGAACCGAACGACGGGCAACACUCCUACGGGAGGCAGAAGUGGCGAAUGUUUCACAAUGGGAGGAAGCCUGAUGCAGGAACGCCUCCUGCUGGAUAACCGCCUUCGGGUUGGAAACCGCUUUCGGUAGUGAACAAGCGUCAGUGACAGUAAUGGGUAAAGAAGCACCGGCUCAAUCCGUG
Molecule: ribosomal RNA, 468 nt
Filed under: uncultured bacterium
Lineage: Bacteria
Description: partial 16S ribosomal RNA
Rfam family: Bacterial small subunit ribosomal RNA
Source: RNAcentral